GAGGAGAGCAGUGGGAAGAAGGGAUUAAAGGAAACAGGCCUACAUCCCUUUGCAGCCUUGGUACAAUUCCUUAUUGCAUGCAGUUCUCUCAUAAAGGAGAAGAGGACCAGAAGAGAGAAAUGGAGAUGGUGGGCUCUGGGACCCUUCCACUGCUCCUUCCUCAGUGCCUUAUCUGCAGUGUUUAAUGUUUUUCUUCCAAAUUUAAGAUUUCUAACUCUCAUACUUGGAAAUACAAAGAACUCCCCAGGGCUUACAGGUCAAGGGGCACAGGCCCUAGAGAGGCACAUCAGGGCUCUCUGUCUCCAGCCCCAUGUCCCUUUGCUGCAUCAGCCGCCUCCAUUACCCUCUUCUUUGCUCCCCAUUGCAGCUCACCACUGUUAGACACAUCCCAAUGGCACACUUCUCUUCCCAGGUCCUUCUGGGUGAAUAACUUAAGACUAAGUUUUUACCACUUUGUGAAAUUUUCCUUAUGUUCCUGGCACUGUGUACUGUUGACUCCAGUAAGAUGUGCAGAUAUGUCCAACCCAUAAGCCAUAAGCUGUGACGUAUGGUCAAGGAUAGCUGUGAAUGUGGCCCAACACAAAAUUGUAAACGUAAGA
Molecule: long non-coding RNA, 599 nt
Filed under: Rattus norvegicus (Norway rat)
Lineage: Eukaryota; Metazoa; Chordata; Mammalia; Rodentia; Muridae
Description: long non-coding RNA NONRATT013267
Source: RNAcentral